Pomacea canaliculata is the source of this 2179-nucleotide long non-coding RNA. RefSeq lists it as uncharacterized. The record is from RefSeq and is a predicted model, not a curated record. NCBI's taxonomy places the organism in Eukaryota, Metazoa, Mollusca, Gastropoda, Architaenioglossa, Ampullariidae. The transcript is spliced from 2 exons.
GGGGAAGGGGUUAGUGGGAGGAUGAUCGCUUUGAGGGCCUCGGGUAUUGUGUACUGCUGCUGCUGCUGCUGGUGCUGGUGUCCUCUGUUUCUGCUCUUGGUGUCGAAGAAGCUUUCCAACUGCUGGUGUACUGUUGCCCUGUCCGUAGAUAGCAGACUUCUGUUUAGUUUUAGGUUCUAUAUUUCAGUUUACCAUGUUUAUUGCAUAAAAACCUUCAGUUUGUUCUACUCUUCAAAAUCUUUUUUGCUUUUAUAAAUCUUGCAUUGGUAUGGUUUGCCACUAUUUUUAAAGCUUGUGCAUGAAUUUCUGAAGGGUUUUAGGUUUUUACUUUAUUUAUUGACUUCACCUGCCGUCUAUUUGGUUAUAGUUCUAGUUAGGAAUGAAUGAACAAAACACAUUUACUGUGGCUUAAUUUAUUUUAAAGAUAUUUUACAUUUAUGAUGUGGUUAUACUGGGCUGUCUUUUGGAAGGAGAGGGCGCAGUGAAUUUGGUUGAAAAAGCAACAGACUGCACGUCUUUCGAGAAAGAAAAAAUAUAUCUAUAUCAUUUUUCUGCCUUACAUUUUCUAGUGAUGGUAACUUGUUUAGAAUUCAACGAAGAAAUAUAGUCGCACACACUCACCACCUUCAGGCUUCAUUCACAGGUAUUUCACAACACUUGCAUCUUUGGGAGAAAAAGACAAACACAAAGGCUUUUGGAUGAGGAGUAUCUGAUUAUAGGCACAGGGUUGUCAUGGUUUAAUUGUGCUAUGAUGCAGGUAACAAAUGCAGUCAGUCCAUGCCAUUUUCAAAGUGCUCGUUAGUUCAAAGUACAAACAGACCAAAAAGUGCACAAACAAACAAAACGUAAAAACUGAAACGCUUUCCAAUUGGAAUGUAUGUAUACAAGUUUAUAUUCUGCAGCCAGGGAUCAAAGGUCACCAUGAAAUAGUGCAACAAGUUUCCAUGUGCACAAUGGUCACACCUGCAAUCUUCAUGCACACAAGGUAAUGACCACGGAAUGUUUCGGACUCCGUAAGACAUGAAACAUGGAGAACACCAUCGAGACAGUUUGUACUCAGUGGCAUGCUUACUGAUUCCUUAAAGACCCACUUGGGUGAAGAUUUUUAAUGACAGGGCUAAGUUCCUUAAAAGAUGUGGUUCUCACAAUCUAGGUAUCAACAGGAAAAGAUCAAAUCCAUGCAAGAACGUGGGUACCCUCUCACUAGUCCCAUCACAUGGAUUCCAAUUAGACAUUUUUCUGUGAAGGUUGUUAACUCCUUUGUUUGAAAACAAAAGGAUUUUUAUUCCUGUGAGUCUUUAAACAUUAGACACUUUCAGAUAAAUAAGGUAAAGAAAGGAUGGACAGGCAGACCCACUUUCUUUUUAGAGAUUUGAGACCGACGGUUGAGGUAUAAAAGACACACAUUCAUAAUCUUCAAACGAAAUCCACAAAAUCAUCAGAAGACAAAUAAAGACGACGGAGAAGUAUAUAAUUUUUUUUUUCAGUUUUAAGGAGCUGACUGGCUGAACUUAAAAAGUUGAAGGCAUCGUGAGAGAAGCUUCUACAGUCAGUCGUGACAGAUGAGUGAAGCUUAACUUCAAAAUGAAACAAUGAAAUUUCCCGCGAGGAAAACACGGACAAUAAAAUAUGAAAUGCUUUUGUUAUUCCUCUUAUGUGUAGCAAACAAUUAAGUUCACAUUGUUAAAAGAAAAGUCUGUAAUUAAAAAAUGGUCAAGUAUGACACGUGGGUGACUUACUUAUUGAUGGAAACUGUGCUGUUUUGUGAAAAUGUUUAUUUAUUUUCUUUUGUCUAGAUGCUUGUGCUACGGCAAUGUUUCUCGUCACUAUGGUGUUACACAGAACUAUAGCAUCUAGAAUGUGUUUACAUUCGUCGAUCGUUUAACAAUAAAAUUUCUGACACAAUGAUUGGCCAGGUAAAUGCGACAUAAUACUCACUCAUGUGCCAAAUAAUGCACUUAUGAAUUUGAUACAAGUGUUACAUUCUAAUAAGUUCUCCGUGCUUUUUAAGCUGUUCAAAUACAGUAUCUAUAUUUUAUUUUGUGCACAGAUUAUUUUCAAUAAACCCAUUUGUGGUGAGUAAAUACAUUAAGUUGUUUUUCAAAUAAUUUUUGUAUAAGCUGUCAUAAAUAAAUACAUAAACAAACAAGCAAAUCGAAAUAAACAGUUCUUGAACCCC